AAGCCCCGGAGCCUUUUUAGGGCUCCUUUUCAAACUUGCAUUUUGAUGUGGGUCACUUCGGGGCUUU
This 67-nucleotide transfer RNA is filed under the name Anolis sagrei (brown anole). Its description in RNAcentral is "tRNA-Cys". Lineage: Eukaryota; Metazoa; Chordata; Lepidosauria; Squamata; Anolidae. The record is from RNAcentral.